This 912-nucleotide ribosomal RNA is filed under the name Paraphaeosphaeria sporulosa. RNAcentral's name for it is "LSU rRNA". It matches the Rfam family "Eukaryotic large subunit ribosomal RNA", at positions 38 to 966 of the family's 3401-position model. The record is from RNAcentral. Lineage: Eukaryota; Fungi; Ascomycota; Dothideomycetes; Pleosporales; Didymosphaeriaceae.
GCAUAUCUAUGAGCGGAGGAAAAAGAAACCAACAGGGAUUGCCCUAGUAACGGCGAGUGAAGCGGCAACAGCUCAAAUUUGAAAUCUGGCUCUCUUUGGGGGUCCGAGUUGUAAUUUGCAGAGGAUGCUUUGGCAUUGGCGGCGGUCUAAGUUCCUUGGAACAGGACAUCACAGAGGGUGAGAAUCCCGUACGUGGUCGCCUGCCUUUGCCGUGUAAAGCUCCUUCGACGAGUCGAGUUGUUUGGGAAUGCAGCUCUAAAUGGGAGGUAAAUUUCUUCUAAAGCUAAAUACUGGCCAGAGACCGAUAGCGCACAAGUAGAGUGAUCGAAAGAUGAAAAGUACUUUGGAAAGAGAGUCAAAAAGCACGUGAAAUUGUUGAAAGGGAAGCGCUUGCAGCCAGACUUGCCCGCAGUUGCUCACCUAGGCUUUGGCCUGGGGCACUCUUCUGCGGGCAGGCCAGCAUCAGUUUGGGCGGUUGGAUAAAGGCCUCUGUCACGUAUCUCCCUUCGGGGUGACCUUAUAGGGGAGGCGCAAUGCAACCAGCCCGGACUGAGGUCCGCGCAUCUGCUAGGAUGCUGGCGUAAUGGCUGUAAGCGGCCCGUCUUGAAACACGGACCAAGGAGUCUAACAUCUAUGCGAGUGUUUGGGUGUCAAGCCCGAGCGCGCAAUGAAAGUGAACGGAGGUGGGAACCCUUUGGGUGCACCAUCGACCGAUCCUGAUGUCUUCGGAUGGAUUUGAGUAAGAGCAUAGCUGUUGGGACCCGAAAGAUGGUGAACUAUGCUUGAAUAGGGUGAAGCCAGAGGAAACUCUGGUGGAGGCUCGCAGCGGUUCUGACGUGCAAAUCGAUCGUCAAAUUUGGGCAUAGGGGCGAAAGACUAAUCGAACCAUCUAGUAGCUGGUUCCUGCCGAAG